This 256-nucleotide ribosomal RNA is filed under the name Lodderomyces parapsilosis. RNAcentral describes it as "Candida parapsilosis partial 28S ribosomal RNA". It matches the Rfam family "Eukaryotic large subunit ribosomal RNA", at positions 1 to 253 of the family's 3401-position model. Lineage: Eukaryota; Fungi; Ascomycota; Pichiomycetes; Serinales; Debaryomycetaceae. The record is from RNAcentral.
CGACCUCAAAUCAGGUAGGACUACCCGCUGAACUUAAGCAUAUCAAUAAGCGGAGGAAAAGAAACCAACAGGGAUUGCCUUAGUAGCGGCGAGUGAAGCGGCAAAAGCUCAAAUUUGAAAUCUGGCACUUUCAGUGUCCGAGUUGUAAUUUGAAGAAGGUAUCUUUGGGUCUGGCUCUUGUCUAUGUUUCUUGGAACAGAACGUCACAGAGGGUGAGAAUCCCGUGCGAUGAGAUGUCCCAGACCUAUGUAAAGUU